AGAGUUUGAUCCUGGCUCAGAAUCAACGCUGGCGGCGUGCCUAACACAUGCAAGUCGAACGGGAAAACAGGGGCAACUCUGUGAGUAUAGUGGCGUACGGGUGAGUAACACGUGACUACCUACCUUCGAGUGGGGGAUAACCCCGGGAAACCGGGGCUAAUACCGCAUAACAUCGCAAGAUCAAAGGAGCAAUUCGCUUGAAGAGGGGGUCGCGGCUGAUUAGCUAGUUGGUAGGGUAAUGGCCUACCAAGGCGAUGAUCGGUAGCCGGCCUGAGAGGGCGCACGGCCACACUGGAACUGAAACACGGUCCAGACUCCUACGGGAGGCAGCAGUGGGGAAUUUUGCGCAAUGGGGGAAACCCUGACGCAGCAACGCCGCGUGGAGGAUGAAGUCCCUUGGGACGUAAACUCCUUUCGACCGGGACGAUUAUGACGGUACCGGUGGAAGAAGCCCCGGCUAACUUCGUGCCAGCAGCCGCGGUAAUACGAGGGGGGCAAGCGUUGUUCGGAAUUAUUGGGCGUAAA
Molecule: ribosomal RNA, 525 nt
Filed under: uncultured Acidobacteriota bacterium
Lineage: Bacteria; Pseudomonadati; Acidobacteriota
Description: bacterial SSU rRNA
Rfam family: Bacterial small subunit ribosomal RNA
Source: RNAcentral